RNAcentral lists this ribosomal RNA (441 nucleotides) under uncultured bacterium. Its description in RNAcentral is "bacterial SSU rRNA". It matches the Rfam family "Bacterial small subunit ribosomal RNA", at positions 339 to 797 of the family's 1533-position model. The record is from RNAcentral.
GUACGGGAGGCAGCAGUAGGGAAUUUUCGGCAAUGGGCGCAAGCCUGACCGAGCAACGCCGCGUGAGGGAAGAAGGUCUUCGGAUCGUAAACCUUUGUCUUUGGGGACGAUAAUGACGGUACCCAAGGAGGAAGCCACGGCUAACUACGUGCCAGCAGCCGCGGUAAUACGUAGGUGGCAAGCGUUGUCCGGAAUUACUGGGCGUAAAGGGCGUGUAGGCGGUAAAUUAAGUCAGACGUGAAAACUCAGGGCUUAACCUUGAGACUGCGUUUGAAACUGAUAGACUAGAGGAUCGGAGAGGGCAGUGGAAUUCCCAGUGUAGCGGUGAAAUGCGUAGAUAUUGGGAGGAACACCAGUGGCGAAGGCGACUGCCUGGACGACACCUGACGCUGAGGCGCGAAAGCCAGGGGAGCAAACGGGAUUAGAUACCCCUGUAGUCCU